GCUUGCCUUGCUGCCCGGCUGUUAGCCAGGUCUUUUGCUCAGGCGUUGAUGUUUUUUCACCAUUGAGGAUGUUCCAAGCUUUCUUAGCCUUCGGAUUUAAGCUACGGAGGGUCCUUGUUUUCGCGCAAUGCUUGUCGAAUGUUACAGGCCCGUUGCUGGCUGUUUUUGACUUGUAUGUUAUGUCUCUGGGGUAAUUCCUCUUUAUAUUUCAGAGGUUUUUACAUAGGUUCUGCCUUGUUAAAAGCCUCACCUCCACUAGGAGUACCCUAUGAGGAAAAGAGUGCAGACCUUGGUUUGGGAAAAAAAGAAAAAAUGAAAUUCAAAACACUUGGGCGCCUUCGCUUAUUCUGCAAGGUCGUCCUUACAUUUAAAUGUAAAAUCUUCGUAGAUUGUCAACAUACUAGGU
This 406-nucleotide long non-coding RNA is filed under the name Sorghum bicolor (sorghum). RNAcentral describes it as "long non-coding RNA (SBIC_LNC001245)". The record is from RNAcentral. Lineage: Eukaryota; Viridiplantae; Streptophyta; Magnoliopsida; Poales; Poaceae.